AACAACCAAUCAGACCCCAGAGGCUUCUUCCAGCUCCCAGAUCCCGGCCGCGCAAGCGCUGCUCCGUGGCGCCGGGGUGGGGGUUGAAUCUCUCGAGCCCGGGCUCAUAGUCCGGGGGGGCGGGGAGGUGUCCGGGGGACUGUGGCUGCCGUUGCUCUGCUCUGGACCCGUGGCCGGGAGCAGGGACACCGGGGGAGGGACAAUGGGGCCUCUGCUGCCGCUGGCAAGAUGGGGUCUCUUGGGCCGUAGCGUCUCUCUGGUGCAGGCCGCGAGGAGCCUCCACUGUGGUGAGCGGGGCGGGGGACACACCCAGACAUUGUAUUGCCCUCCCGGCCAGGCAAGGGCGACCUGCAGGGUCAGGCCCUUCUACUGAUCACCCCCUUCUUCAGCUGUCUUCUCCGUUUCCAGGGGUCUCCAGCUGGAUCCAUGUGAAGGUGCCCCCUGAACCUAAAGAGGUUGAUCGCUGGACAGAGAAACGAGCCUUAUUUGGGGUCUAUGACAACAUAGGGAUUCUAGGUAAGUGACCAAGGGUGGGUCUGAGGAGAUCAUGGGAGGGGGUCAGGAGAGCCGAGGUUAGUCCUUCUCUGGGGCUAGGGAAAAUGUAAUGGUGUCAGAAUGAAUUGAAGUUGAUGGGACCUUGGGCUAAGCUUUCUGCUGCCCUGGGUUUAUUUUCCUCUUACUGCAUUUGUUUCCCACUUCCUCCUCAGGAGACUUCCACAUUCACCCCAAGGACUUGAUCACAGGGCCCAAGUGGCUGCAAGGCUGGCGGGGAAAUGAGCUACAGAGAUGCAUCCGCAAGAAGCAAAUUGUAGGUCACCGAAUGUUUGAUCAGGAUUACAAGAACCUUAACAAAAGGAUCAGGUUCCUGUACAGACGCUUCAACCGCACUGGAAAGCACCGCUAGGAGCAGACCUGUGAGAGCUAGCCAUGUGUAUCCUGGAGGAAUGGCAUCCUGGGAAUAACAGGUUUAGCACCUGGAGCUGUGCGCAGAAUGCAGUGCUGUAAAAUCAUAAUAAACUGAGUUUCUCGUCUAUAACCACCUUCUACUUCUGAUCUCACUUGAAGCUCAGUUCCAGCUCCUAGACCCUCCUCCUUGUCCAGUCCUGAGCUCCCUUUGCUGAUUAUUCCUCCUUCACCACCACCCUUAAAUUUAUCUUCUUACUGCUUCCCUUAAGUUUAGCUCCCCAUCUUCCUCUGUUGCAACCCCUCUCUAGUACCUGGUUUCCAGCUUCAUAGUUUGUUACACCAACCUUAAUAUUGAAAUGACACAAAACAUUAAAUGUUUUCAAUUACCAGCACUUGGACAACCUUAAUUCCAUUUUAUAAUUCUCCCAGAGAGUUGCAAGUCUCUUUUGUAUUCUCCUUCUCCACUGAUUCCCAAUCUGCUACAGCCCACAGUUUAGUUAUGUCUGUCCUUCAAAACCCUCCAAUGAAUUGACUUGAGUAAUGCUGAAGUUACCUUAACAGCCCAGAAUUGAAGUUGCAUUAAAAUUUGCCUUUAAAGGAUGAUUAAUCCUUUUAAUUCACACUACUUCCUGUGUUUAAUCUCUAUAUUUAAUAUACUCCCUGAACAGGUGAAUUUUCUUAGGCAAAGGUUACUAAUGUAACUUAAGCAGGUGAAAUUUAGAGAAACCCUUUUUGACAUUGUCCCUGAAGUCAGAUUGUCAUCAGGCUCUUUUGUAGGAACAGCCCUACUGGAUGAGAGCUGGGGUCAAGAGUCCUGUCUCAUAGAGGGGCCAGUACCAGAUCCUUCAGAGGCAGGUGCAAGAAACCUGCAGUCGGCAGAUCUGUGGUACUCUGCCCCCCCAUUAGUUCACAUCCUGAUUUCUCACAGUUCGAGAUGGGCUGAAAUCAAGUAUAAGAUUGAAUAGCCCUUCUAAAAAAUGUAUUAAUGAUAACUAGAUAUUAUCCAAUGCCUCUCCGGCUGUUGCUAAAUUCGCAUCCCCACUCUACUCAGCUGUCCUUUGGUGCAUCACCCAGUAGCUCUGUGGGGAGUUACAAGGGGAAGUGAGAGAGACAAGGUGGAGGAGGUUAUAUCUUUUAUUGAACAAAAUUCUGGGAUUGACAUAGCUACAAUACUGCAUACAGUAAGGGGAUGUGAGGCAGACUUGUGGGAGAGGGAAAGAGGGUUUUGGACACAGUUGCCAACUUUCAUACAGUAAAUAAGCACCCCGAUUUUCACAAUAACCCCAAAAUCAAGCUAAUCCCUAAGAACCCCAACACUCUGACUAGAUUCCCCCAGCGUGCAGUCUUGAUACUGUGGUGGGCCUGUUGUGCACCCCUGACCCCCCCCCUUGCUCCUGCUUGCUGGGAGCCGAUCAAAAAAAAAGCAUAAAGCUACAAAAAAGCUACAAGCAAAAAACUAGCCAACAAGCAACUCACAAGCCAAUUAAGCCAGAAACAAGCCCAAUUUCUUUGUUUUUUGUAUUGAAGCAUAAGCUUUCGUGGGUGAAUACCCACUUCUUCGGAUGCAAGCAGUGGAAAUGUCCAGGGGCAGAUAUUUUUUAUAUCUGCCCCAUGACAUUUCCACUGCUUGCAUCCGAUGAAGUGGGUAUUCACCCACGAAAGCUUAUGCUUCAAUACCUCUGUUAGUCUAUAAGGUGCCACAGGACCCUUUGUCGCUUCUACAGAUCCAGACUAACACGGCUACCCCUCUGAUACUUUGUUUUUUGUGUGUGCGGGUUUGGCAUGUUUGGUUGUGGAUAGGGUCUUGGGCUGGUGGAUGCCAGUUUUUCCUGUAAUGAAGCAUCAGCAGUUCAUUGGUUUCGCUGAAAUUUCUGCCAUAGGGAGUCCCUGAUGUACCAAGGCCUCAGUGUAGACACAGCUGAAUGAGGAGUUCUGUGUUGCACUGAGAUGUUAUUGCAUCAAGAGUUAGCCUCAGUGAGGGAGCUGUGACAGAAGAACUGAGUUCAUUUCCUUCCUUCCUCCAGUGGUGGGGAUAGCAGUUGUGACUGGGGAAUUGAAACGAGUAGUAGUGCUCUCUUGGAGGAAGCUUUAGCUGGUGUCCUGGCAGAAACCAGUAGUUUCCAUUCUGAUCCAGUGGGAGGCAGGAGUUGGAAACGUUUCCUGCUUGGGUUGUACCCCAGCAUGGAACACUGCUGAGCCCUUUGUCUGCAAAGGGACAAUGGAAGAAUUCUGGCCCCUAGGAGGGUGAGCAAUAGGUCUCUAGUCAGGUGACAGAGGGCUGUCUCCUUAGGCUACAUCCACACUACCCGCCCGAUUCCGCGGGUAGCGAUCGAUGUUCUGGGAUCAAUUUAUCGCGUCUCAUCUAGACGCGAUAAAUCGAUCCCAGAGCUGCUCCCCGUCGACUCCGGAACUCCAGCUCUGCGCAAGGAGUAAGCGGAGUCGACGGGGGAGCCUGCCUGCUGCGGUGUGGACCAGCAGUAAGUACUUUUGAAAUCGAUCUAAGAUAUUCGACUUCAGCUACGUUAUUCACGUAGCUGAAGUUGCGUAUCUUAGAUCGAUCCCCCGCCCCCCCCAGUGUGGACCAGCUCUUAGACUUGGCUACACCUUUGGCUCUUACUCCACCUUGUGUACCUUCAUGCCUUGAUAGAAGAGCUUGAAAGCACUGCUCCUAUAGAGGCUACAAACCCUGUCAGAGUGCUCCAGAGGUUAUGUCUACACUACGGACCUUACAGCAGCACAGCUGCACCACUACAGCUGUGCACUGUAAGGUCUCCUGUGUAGCCGCUCUAUGCCAGCAGGAGGGAACUCUCCUGCCAACAUAGCCCCGUCCAUACCAGCACUUUUGUCAGUGACACUUAUGUUGGCGAGGGGGUGUGGUUUUUUUCACACCCCUGACAAACGUGCUAGUGUAGACAAAGUGUUAAGAGUUUCUGACCAUUGCUGCUGCUUCAGCCUAUAAGGCAUAUGCUUGAGCUAUCAAAUUCUGCUAUACAAACUAUGGCUCCAGCAGCAAUGUAUUGACUUCUCAGCCUACCUGCAGCCACUGACUUUUUGCUUCCCCAUAUCUCCUGUAUUCCCUCUAUUCCACAUCUCUUGUCUCUUUGCUUUCCCUUUCUAAUCCUAUCAGUUUCUCCUACCUUGUUUCCCAAACUUUUUAACCUCUUUUUAUUAGUAGUUCAUAUCCUGUCAUUCUAAUAAAGGAUGGUGUGUUUGUGGGUCAAGCUAUGAACAUGCUACAGUUGCUCUUAACCUGUGCCGGGAUAUAGAAAGAACCACUCCUUUUCCCUU
Chelydra serpentina (North American snapping turtle) is the source of this 4194-nucleotide long non-coding RNA. The record is from Ensembl. Lineage: Eukaryota; Metazoa; Chordata; Testudines; Chelydridae.